Marasmius tenuissimus is the source of this 86-nucleotide non-coding RNA. The record is from the annotation of a GenBank genome assembly. Lineage: Eukaryota; Fungi; Basidiomycota; Agaricomycetes; Agaricales; Marasmiaceae.
GGUCUAAUAGUGUAGUGGUUAUCACAGUGGAUUUUGACCAUUAGAUCAUCAUUCCAUUAACCCAGGUUCGAAUCCUGGUUAGACCU